This 74-nucleotide transfer RNA is filed under the name Candidatus Eiseniibacteriota bacterium. RNAcentral describes it as "tRNA-Arg". It matches the Rfam family "tRNA". Rfam says of the family: Transfer RNA (tRNA) molecules are approximately 80 nucleotides in length. Their secondary structure includes four short double-helical elements and three loops (D, anti-codon, and T loops). The record is from RNAcentral. Lineage: Bacteria; Candidatus Eiseniibacteriota.
GCCCCCGUAGCUCAGGUGGAUAGAGCGACGGUUUCCUAAACCGUAGGUCGCGCGUUCGAGCCGCGCCGGGGGCA